GGAGGGCUAGUGAAGUGGCUAAACACGGCAGACUGUAAAUCUGCUCCUUUCAGGUUCGGUGGUUCGAAUCCAUCGCCCUCCACCA
RNAcentral lists this transfer RNA (85 nucleotides) under Paenibacillus radicis (ex Gao et al. 2016). RNAcentral's name for it is "tRNA-Tyr". It matches the Rfam family "tRNA". Rfam says of the family: Transfer RNA (tRNA) molecules are approximately 80 nucleotides in length. Their secondary structure includes four short double-helical elements and three loops (D, anti-codon, and T loops). Lineage: Bacteria; Bacillati; Bacillota; Bacilli; Caryophanales; Paenibacillaceae. The record is from RNAcentral. RNAcentral also lists the same sequence under 2 other names.